CGCAAGGACACUCGUAGAGGUGCUGCAUGGCUGUCGUCAGCUCGUGUCGUGAGAUGUUGGGUUAAGUCCCGCAACGAGCGCAACCCUUGUCUGCUGUUGCCAUCAGGUUAAGCUGGGCACUCUGCAGAGACUGCCGGUGAUAAACCGGAGGAAGGUGGGGAUGACGUCAAGUCAGCAUGGCCUUUAUGUCUGGGGCUACACACGUGCUACAAUGGCCGGUACAAACCGUCGCAAAACCGUAAGGUGGAGCUAAUCGGAUAAAGCCGGUCUCAGUUCGGAUAGCAGGCUGCAACUCGCCUGCUUGAAGUUGGAAUCGCUAGUAAUCGCGGAUCAGCACGCCGCGGUGAAUACGUUCCCGGGCCUUGUACACACCGCCCGUCACAUCACGAAAGCCGGUUGUACUAGAAGUCGCUACAUCAACCCGCAAGGGAGAGAGGCGCCUAAGGUAUGGUCGGUGAUUGGGGUGAAG
This 469-nucleotide ribosomal RNA is filed under the name uncultured Verrucomicrobiota bacterium. Its description in RNAcentral is "bacterial SSU rRNA". It matches the Rfam family "Bacterial small subunit ribosomal RNA", at positions 1018 to 1485 of the family's 1533-position model. The record is from RNAcentral. Lineage: Bacteria; Pseudomonadati; Verrucomicrobiota.